AUACCACUAAAAAUGGAACAACAUGUAAUUAUGUGCUCAAUGUGAUGAAUAUGAAGUAGACUGCACCACUCUGCAGUACAGUCAGGAAAUAAGAAACCAAGUCCAAUCAAAAUAGCCCUAAAGCUACCUUCCAGUUUAUAAAAAGUAUGAAGAAUAGAGGGGCAAUUAAAUGAUACCAUAAAGAGUCAAAUACAGGGCAUGCAACAUAGCUGCUGAUUGGAUUUAUUCAACAUGUCAGUGGCAUGAAUACAAUAGGAGGCAGGUAGGGAGAAGGCACUACCCUGAAUUAUGAGACUGAAGAGAUAUAAUAAACAAAUGCAAUGUGUGGACUUGGUUGGGAUCUUCAUUCAAAGACCAACUAUAAAAAGACAUUGUUGUGAGAAUUGAGGAAAUUUGAAUGAGAAAUGUAUUUUUAUCUAAUUUGUUAGCUGUGAUAAUAGUAUUGUGGGAGUAAGAAGCUAUUCAUAUUUCUAUAUAUAUAUACCAAGUACAUAGGAGUGAAAUAAUACAAAAUCUGGAAUUUGCCUUAAAAUUCCUCUGCAAAAUUAUAAAAAAGAACGAUGACAAACUAAAAAGGUGUAGUAUUCUUCUAUGGCUGCUAUAACAAAUGACCAAAAAACAUAGUGACUGAAAAUAACCCACAUUUAUUAUCUUACAGUUCCAUAGGUUAGAAGUUCAACAUGGGUCUCAUGAGAUCAAAAGCAAGGCCUUGGCAGGGUGACGUUUCUUUCUGGAGGUUCCAGGGGGAACUCUGUUUUCUUACUUUUUUUAGAUUCUAGAGGCUUCCCACAAUCCUUGGCUUAAGGUCCAUCUUUAAAGACAGCAACGUUUCAUCUCUCUACCUAUUCUUUCAUCCUUACAUCUUUCUCUAACUAUUCCUUUUCUUCUGUCUUCCACUUUUAAGAGCCUUUUUGAGUCUAUUGAGGCCAACUGGACAAUCAAGGAUUAUCUCCCUAUGUUAAGGUCAAUUGAUUAGUGACCUAAUUCCAUCUACAAUCACAAUUCCUCUUUGCCAUAUAAUGUAAAAUAUUCAUACCUCUAAGGAUUAGGACAUGGACAUCUUUGAGGGUCAUUAGUCAUCUUACCACAGGAAGGAAGGAAGGAAGGAAGGAAGGAAGGAAGGAAGGAAGGAAGGAAGGAAAGGGAGGAGAGGAGAGGAGAGGUAGGAGGGAAGAAGAAAAAAAUAGUAUGAAAAAAUCUUGAUAAAUUUGAAAACUGGGUGAAUAAUAUGUGGAAUUCUCUCUAUUUUUGUUAAUGUUGGAAAAUUUAAUAAAAACAAUGAAC
This 1284-nucleotide long non-coding RNA is filed under the name Homo sapiens (human). RNAcentral's name for it is "long non-coding RNA NONHSAT241090". Lineage: Eukaryota; Metazoa; Chordata; Mammalia; Primates; Hominidae. The record is from RNAcentral.